Molecule: ribosomal RNA, 576 nt
Filed under: Gloeandromyces pageanus
Lineage: Eukaryota; Fungi; Ascomycota; Laboulbeniomycetes; Laboulbeniales; Laboulbeniaceae
Also listed under: 1 other name
Description: LSU rRNA
Rfam family: Eukaryotic large subunit ribosomal RNA
Source: RNAcentral
GGAAACCAACAGGGAUUGCCUUAGUAACGGCGAGUGAACUGGCAAAAGCUCAAAUUUGAAAUCUGGCGUUUGCCUGAGUUGUAAUUUGAAGAGGAUGUCUUUUGUUUUAACUUGAGAUUGAAGUCUUCUGGAACGUAGCAUCAUGGAGGGUAAUAAUCCCGUAUGUGAUUUCAAGUUUUAUAAGCAAUAUAAGACUCCUUCAAUGAGUCGAGUUGUUUGGGAAUGCAGCUCUAAAUGGGAGGUAAAUUUCUUCUAAAGCUAAAUAUAGGCUAGAGACCGAUAGUGAACAAGUAGAGUGAUCGAAAGAUGAAAAGAACUUUGGAAAGAGAGUUAAACAGUAUGUGAAAUUGUUGGAAGGGAAGCAUUUGCAAUCAGAUUUGUGUUGUUAAAAUUCACCUACACAUUCUAUGUGCUUAGAGCAUUUUUUUUCAACACUUGUCAACAUCAAUUUGAGCAGUGAUAUAAUCUUGGAUAAAAUGUGGCUCAUUGAGUGUUAUAGUUAUCCUUGCUAAUCACUUGCAUAAAUUGAGGCUUGCGGUUACCCAUGGAUGUUGACUUAAUGGUUGUAAGUGGCCC